AUGUAUGGGUAUAUACACAUGGAGGACAUUUCUGACAUCCCACCACAAUGGCAAGCGAUCCCCGCUCAAUUCGAGGGUGACCUCUCCGCGCAGCCGGCGGUGUCCCCAGCCCCUCUGCCUGUGCCGUUCCCUGCUCCAGCUGCUGAGCUCCUCGCAUGUCCUUGCUCUGGGACACUGCCUCGGCUCUGUUUGGAGGGGAUGCUGAGCCCUGCAGGUCCCUAUCCAGACUGGGCCGGUGCUGCAGGACACCAAGGCUCUUGUGGUGGUGGCUGGAGCUGGGAUCUUCAGGACUUUUCCCAUUCCUCCUUCAACACAUGUGCGUGGGCCUCCCCACCCACGGUGCUCCGCUGCACUGCUACGAGGAGGCUCGGCAGGGAAAUCCCUGCCAUUAGGACACAGCUCCCCCGAAAUCCGAUGGGCCGUGUCCUCGGCUGCUGCCUCCCAUGGUCAGCAUGGCAGGGCACGCUCCUGCCCUCUGAUCUCCCCCGGAGUGAAGCGGAGCACACAUUGCCUGUCAGCGGAGCAAAGUGCACAGAAACCCCCCCGGGAUGUCCCCCGACUGCCCACGGCAGCACACAGCCCGGCUGCAGCAGCGGUGUCACGCAGCACAGGUGGCGUUUGCUCUGUUCCAGCUGUCCCUGGGGUCACCCUGUGCCUGGGGGGCUCUUGGCUCCCCUCUGCCAUGCUGGGCAUGGGGGGGCGAGCAGGACCCCGGCACUGGGGUCAGUGCUGCUCUGUGGUUCUUUGCUCUGCUGUAUUUUUAACUUUUGCAUCUACCUGACAUUUUAUGGCCAGACGAUGUUACAAGGGACAAGUGCUAUCCAUUACACACUGGAACAAGCUCUUGCUCACUGCCUCACAGCUCCUGGGACACAAUGCCCCUGUGGCCCCACGGGCCUGGUGCUGGCUGCCCCGCACAGCAGGGACACCCCGGCAUCCGAGCAAGUGUCACCAGGCACAGAAACGUCCCUCACAUCCAGCCAGCCCCGGGAGAAGAACAAUGACAUUAAAUGA
This 1014-nucleotide long non-coding RNA is filed under the name Anser brachyrhynchus (Pink-footed goose). Its description in RNAcentral is "lncRNA (ENSABRG00000015233.1)". The record is from RNAcentral. Lineage: Eukaryota; Metazoa; Chordata; Aves; Anseriformes; Anatidae.